CCCUCCACACUGGAACUGAGACAAGGACCAGACUUUUACGGAAGGCAGCAGUGAGGAAUAUUGGUCAAUGGAGGAAACUCUGAACCAGCUAUGCCGCGUGUAUGGAUGACAGUCUUUUAGAUUGUAAACUACUUUUACAUAGAAAUAAAAGUUACUACGGGAUAGUAAUCUGAAGGUACUAUGAGAAUAAGUGUCGGCUAAUUUCGUGCCAGCAGCCGCGGUAAUACGAAAGACACAAGCGUUAUCCAGAUUUAUUGGGUUUAAAGGGUGUGUAGGCUGUUUAUUAAGUCAGUAGUGAAAGCUUACAGCUUAACUGUAAAAAUGCUAUUGAUACUGAUAAUCUUGAGUAAGAUUGGAGCAUCUGGAAUGUAUGGUGUAGCGGUGAAAUGCAUAGAUAUCAUACAGAACACCAAUAGCGAAGGCAGGAUGCUAAAUCUUUACUGACGCUGAGGCACUAAAGCGUGGGGAGCAAACAGGAUUAGAUACCCUGGUAGUCCACGCCCUAAACGAUGAUCACUAGCUAUUGGAAAAAUUAUAUUCAGUGGCUAAGCUAAAGCGAUAAGUGAUCCACCUGGGGAGUACGAUCGCAAGAUUGAAACUCAAAGGAAUUGACGGGGUUUCGCACAAGCGGUGGAGCAUGUGGUUUAAUUCGAUGAUACGCGAGGAACCUUACCAAGGUUUAAAUGUUUUACGAAUAAGCUGGAAACAACUUAGUCUAUAAGACGUAGAACAAGGUGCUGCAUGGUUGUCUUCAGUUCGUGCUGUGAAGUGUUUGGUUAAGUCCUAUAACGAGCGCAACCCCUAUUGUUAGUUGCCAUCGGGUAAAGCCGGGGACUCUAACAAAACUGCCGGUGUAAAUCGUGAGGAAGGUGGGGAUAAUGUCAA
RNAcentral lists this ribosomal RNA (885 nucleotides) under Candidatus Uzinura diaspidicola. RNAcentral describes it as "bacterial SSU rRNA". It matches the Rfam family "Bacterial small subunit ribosomal RNA", at positions 304 to 1188 of the family's 1533-position model. The record is from RNAcentral. Lineage: Bacteria; Pseudomonadati; Bacteroidota; Flavobacteriia; Flavobacteriales.